UCGUGAUCAUCUCCGGAUACGACACGGUGUAACUUGGACGACAUUCUUUUGUAGAAGAUUUUUAAUUUCAUUUUCGAUCAUCCACACAUUUAUGUAGUUUUUGAAGUGUUUGUUUUAUUGAUUUCGAAGAACACGUUUUUUAAAUUUAUAUUUGUAGGUUAAAGGAAGAAGAUUAGAUAGUCCUCGACGAUCGUCUAUUAUUCAUUGUCUUUGUUUCUGUACUUAAUUAUCUUUUUUUCAGAUUACCUCAUCGGUAUCGAUAUGCCCCGACCCAAACGGUUAACUGGAGCUGCAUUAGCCAGUCGAAAUGCAAAGAUUCGUAGACUAUCUUCAAGUACCGAUUCCAAUCAUAGCGUGACCGAUGAUGUCCAACCAAUCGUUGCGGUUGCUUCACAAUCGGGAAAGGAGAGCGUACCUGAGAAGAAGGCGAAGCCGCUUCGUGGCGCCGCACUCAAGAGUAAAUUAAGAAA
This is a long non-coding RNA of Photinus pyralis (common eastern firefly), 470 nucleotides long. RefSeq lists it as uncharacterized. The record is from RefSeq and is a predicted model, not a curated record. The transcript is spliced from 5 exons. NCBI's taxonomy places the organism in Eukaryota, Metazoa, Arthropoda, Insecta, Coleoptera, Lampyridae.